CGUGAGUGAUGAAGGCUUUCGGGUCGUAAAGCUCUGUCAAGUGGGAAGAAACUGUUAGAUACUAAUACCAUCUAGCACUGACGGUACCACUAAAGGAAGCACCGGCUAACUCCGUGCCAGCAGCCGCGGUAAUACGGGGGGUGCAAGCGUUAUUCGGAAUUAUUGGGCGUAAAGGGCGCGUAGGCGGUCUCUAAAGUCAGAUGUGAAAGCCCGGGGCUUAACCCCGGAAGUGCAUUUGAAACUUAGGGACUUGAGUAUGGGAGAGGGAAGUGGAAUUCCUGGUGUAGCGGUGAAAUGCGUAGAUAUCAGGAGGAACACCAGUGGCGAAGGCGACUUCCUGGACCAAUACUGACGCUGAGGCGCGAAGGCGUGGGGAGCAAACAGGAUUAGAUACCCUGGUAGUCCACGCAGUAAACGGUGAACACUAGGUGUAGCGGGUAUUGACCCCUGCUGUGCCGCAGCUAACGCAUUAA
This 473-nucleotide ribosomal RNA is filed under the name uncultured delta proteobacterium. RNAcentral describes it as "bacterial SSU rRNA". It matches the Rfam family "Bacterial small subunit ribosomal RNA", at positions 400 to 863 of the family's 1533-position model. Lineage: Bacteria; Deltaproteobacteria. The record is from RNAcentral.